Molecule: long non-coding RNA, 382 nt
Organism: Neopsephotus bourkii (Bourke's parrot)
Lineage: Eukaryota; Metazoa; Chordata; Aves; Psittaciformes; Psittacidae
Exons: 3
Source: RefSeq, a predicted model, not a curated record
AGGCUUUGGAAAACACUCCUCUCCUGGAACGCUCCCAGCAGUCAUCUUACAACAAAGCCCAUUGUCCCAUUUUCUCCUCCUCAGCCAUGCUGGAGUCCUUUUUCCUUUUUGUCCCCAGUGUCUCUUUUUGCCUGCAUUGCUUACACAGAUGAAGGCUUUAUUGUGCUAAGGGUAUGCAAGCCUACAGUGACGAGCCUCUCAGCAGAACAAACGCUGCCGAAGCCUGCUGCGAUGCAGUGAAAGCCACGAAGAGCAAGGCUGGUGCCAAGACUGACAGCUUCCUGAACAACUCUCAUCCACCUGGCAGAGCCCCGGCUGGCAAUUUCACAGGAGCUCAGGGAAAACGGAAGGAUAACAGAAGUACAUCCCCAGCCUGCAGAAG